This 164-nucleotide ribosomal RNA is filed under the name uncultured bacterium. RNAcentral's name for it is "partial 16S ribosomal RNA". It matches the Rfam family "Bacterial small subunit ribosomal RNA", at positions 355 to 511 of the family's 1533-position model. The record is from RNAcentral.
UAGGGAAUCUUCCACAAUGGACGAAAGUCUGAUGGAGCAACGCCGCGUGAGUGAAGAAGGGUUUCGGCUCGUAAAACUCUGUUGUUAAAGAAGAACAUAUCUGAGAGUAACUGUUCAGGUAUUGACGGUAUUUAUCCAGAAAGCCACGGCUAACUACGUGCCAG